Molecule: ribosomal RNA, 377 nt
Filed under: uncultured bacterium
Lineage: Bacteria
Description: bacterial SSU rRNA
Rfam family: Bacterial small subunit ribosomal RNA
Source: RNAcentral
UAAGACGGAGGAUGCAAGCGUUAUCCGGAAUGAUUGGGCGUAAAGCGUCCGCAGGUGGCAGUUCAAGUCUGCUGUCAAAGACCGGGGCUUAACUUCGGAAAGGCAGUGGAAACUGAACAGCUAGAGUAUGGUAGGGGCAGAGGGAAUUCCUGGUGUAGCGGUGAAAUGCGUAGAGAUCAGGAAGAACAUCGGUGGCGAAGGCGCUCUGCUGGACCAUAACUGACACUCAGGGACGAAAGCUAGGGGAGCGAAUGGGAUUAGAUACCCCAGUAGUCCUAGCCGUAAACGAUGGAUACUAGGUGUUGUCUGUAUCGACCCGGACAGUGCCGUAGCUAACGCGUUAAGUAUCCCGCCUGGGGAGUACGCACGCAAGUGUG